AUCGCAAGACCUCGCGCGAUUGGAGCGGCCGAUAUCAGAUUAGGUAGUUGGUGAGUAAAGGCUCACCAAGCCGACGAUCUGUAGCUGGUCUGAGAGGACGACCCAGCCACGCUGGGACUGAGACACGGCCCAGACUCCUACGGGAGGCAGCAGUGGGGAAUAUUGGACAAUGGGGCGAAAGCCUGAUCCAGCAAUGCCGCGUGAGUGAUGAAGGCCUUAGGGUUGUAAAGCUCUUUUACCCGAGAUGAUAAUGACAGUAUCGGGAGAAUAAGCUCCGGCUAACUCCGUG
This 289-nucleotide ribosomal RNA is filed under the name uncultured bacterium. RNAcentral's name for it is "partial 16S ribosomal RNA". It matches the Rfam family "Bacterial small subunit ribosomal RNA", at positions 202 to 507 of the family's 1533-position model. The record is from RNAcentral.